RNAcentral lists this long non-coding RNA (582 nucleotides) under Androctonus crassicauda. The record is from RNAcentral. Lineage: Eukaryota; Metazoa; Arthropoda; Arachnida; Scorpiones; Buthidae.
CAUUGUAGUUACAUUGUGGUCACGGUAUGUUUGUGAUGUCAUUCCUACCUCAUGCUUUGCAAUAUCAACACCAAUUUAGAAUAACAGGCUGAAGGAUUUAAAAUUAUGACUCAAAAAUGCCCUAUCCAUGGGGCAGUUUUAACUCAGAAUAGCCUAUAUUACUUGUUGGGACCCUGAAAAGUUCAGUACCAACAAGUCAAAUGGUGUGGGAAACCUUUGCAGAACACUCUGAUAGAAAGAACAAUGCCAAUAUGCCCAAUCCUUUGGGGCAAUUGUGAUUUUAGUUAUUCUAUAUUAGAUGUAGUAUCAUGGGAAGUUACCUUGCAACAUUUGGUCCCAAUAGGUCAAAUAGUGUGGGAGUCUAUGCAGAACAAAAAACAAACAGAGAGAAAGACAGUCAAACAUUGUAUUUUAUAUAUAUGUAUGUAUGUUACACUCAAAGACUGAAAUUGCACAAUGACCGAAAAAACAAUUGCAACACAUUUUGGCUAAUUCCAAAUGACCAAACAACAAUGCUCAACAUUAUUUCACUUCAUGGCUAUUGUGAGGUAACCACAAUGCGUUGUGGGCAACUCUGCCAAG